GCGUGUAGCCAGGCAGGAGAAAGGCUGCAGGAGAUAGCUGCUAUGUGGAUUUCAUGGGCACGGUUUGUUUCCACCUGACAAGGCUGCUUCAAAUGGACACCAUUUAAAAGCCACGAUGUAUAUGUUGGAAUUGCCACCUAUGCAACACCCUCACAGCACUGAAGAACCACAUUUUCUGAAACUGGACCCCAGAAACACUGUGGAACAAGGACAAGCCUCAAAGUCCACACAGGCAGCACAGAAUUGCUGGGGACCAUCUGUUUGUUUGUGGAACAGUGCCCUCCUGCAGAAGUUGAAGAAAAGGAUUAUGGCAACUUACCUUGGAUUUAGGAAAGUACAAAUCCCUUCACACCACCAACUUGAAGACAGCCUUCAGUAAUCCUCUCUGGAAUGGUGGGACUGAUUUAUUUGUGUUUCAAGCCACCUAAAUUUACAGUGCUUCUUGCUUCCUUGCAGAGGAUUCUCAGUGCUACCAAACCAGCUCCAUACUGAUAACAGAGGAGCAA
Molecule: long non-coding RNA, 506 nt
Organism: Pogoniulus pusillus (Red-fronted tinkerbird)
Lineage: Eukaryota; Metazoa; Chordata; Aves; Piciformes; Lybiidae
Exons: 3
Source: RefSeq, a predicted model, not a curated record